Molecule: long non-coding RNA, 1128 nt
Filed under: Cricetulus griseus (Chinese hamster)
Lineage: Eukaryota; Metazoa; Chordata; Mammalia; Rodentia; Cricetidae
Description: lncRNA (ENSCGRG00015032910.1)
Source: RNAcentral
CCCAGCUCUGGUCUGUGCUUGCCUGUAAUUCCCUUUAAAGGGAAACCUGAGGGGUGGUAAAAAUGGUGUCUCUUUCACCUUUGUAAUAACCCCUGGGGCCAAAUCUGUGCCUGGUACGGUGCCUCAGCUAAUGAGUGUUUGACAAAUGAUCGCAUGUGCGUUCACAGUUAAGCUGUCAUCCGUCCUGCCAGAAAACCAAGGCACCCAGCAUGUCAAAAAGAAAAAAAGAAAAGAAAAGAAAAGAAAAGCCCUCUUGUGCAGGAACAAGCCCCUUAAAAAGUCAACACAACAUCCUGCUGGUCCUUCAUGGGCUGCUGACAACCCAGUAGAUGGAACUGUGUUCUGCAGCAUUGUGGGCGUGUCCAAUUAGACUCGGUGAGACCGAGCUGCCCUCCAACAUGAAUAAGCCUUGCAAAUAUGUGGUUAAUGACCAUGUCGCUCCGUGUCAGUUCUUAAUCCCAGAUAAUUAGCAGAUAGAUAAUUGGUGGAAGAACGGGAGGUGCUGACAGACGGCCCAUCACUUGGGUGAAGUUAAUGAUCCUCUGUGGAUUAAGCCCCACCCUCUGGGAGUGUUGAUGGCUGCUAUUUGAAAUGCUCCUUUUGAAAGGGCCUGGAUCCAAGAAGAGGUGUCAAGAACUCCAGCUCGGGGCGUGGCAUCAGAACUAAUUCCCUGAGCUGCUUCCGGGAAGGCCCAGAACCAGGGCUAUGAGUUAGCCCACCCCAACAUUCACCCCAUCUAUGAUCUGAAGGAGCACGUGAAGGGGCCUGUUCUGCAGAUCCAAAGCUGCAGGGUCUCCAGGACACAGAGCAACAACAGGAUAACCAUGAGGAGCCCCAGUGAGGGCCCAGUAGCAACAGCAUGGCAGAAACCAGAGGCCUCAAAUCAGACCAAUGACUCUUUGCAAAGAACUCUUGCAAGAAAAGAAAUGUGGACAAAAGGGUCUACUGUGUGACUCACUGUGGCAUACUACAGCUUCCAUGAUGAGAUUUUUCUUUCUUUCUUUUUCUUUUUUCUCUCAAACUUUAUUUUAUUUGACUUUGGUGGGGGAGGCUGCAAGGGCAGAGGGCAUCUGGAUGCAAAUGCACGGGAGAUGAGUGGGAUUGAGAUGCCUGAUGUGAAAGAUACAA